GAUGAACGCUAGCUACAGGCUUAACACAUGCAAGUCGAGGGGCAGCAUGAACUUAGCUUGCUAAGUUUGAUGGCGACCGGCGCACGGGUGAGUAACACGUAUCCAACCUUCCGUUUACUCAGGGAUAGCCUUUCGAAAGAAAGAUUAAUACCUGAUAGUAUGGUGAGAUUGCAUGAUAACACCAUUAAAGAUUUAUUGGUAAACGAUGGGGAUGCGUUCCAUUAGGUAGUAGGCGGGGUAACGGCCCACCUAGCCUGCGAUGGAUAGGGGUUCUGAGAGGAAGGUCCCCCCANAUUGGAACUGAGACACGGUCCAAACUCCUACGGGAGGCAGCAGUGAGGAAUAUUGGUCAAUGGGGCAGAGCCUGAACCAGCCAAGUAGCGUGAAGG
This 389-nucleotide ribosomal RNA is filed under the name uncultured bacterium. RNAcentral describes it as "bacterial SSU rRNA". It matches the Rfam family "Bacterial small subunit ribosomal RNA", at positions 28 to 407 of the family's 1533-position model. The record is from RNAcentral.